Sus scrofa (pig) is the source of this 546-nucleotide long non-coding RNA. RefSeq lists it as uncharacterized. The record is from RefSeq and is a predicted model, not a curated record. Lineage: Eukaryota; Metazoa; Chordata; Mammalia; Artiodactyla; Suidae.
GAUGGAUUAAUGCCAUUUGCAAUAACAUGGAUGCAACUAGAGAUUCUCAUACUAAGUGAAAUGAAUGCUGCAUGCCAGGACCACAGCAGAGCAUAAGGAGAGGGCAAGGAAAAGACAAGACUUUGGAGACCUCAGAGAAUUCUUGCAGAUAAUCUAGAGGCUUAAAGCUACUGUUUUCCCUCAGAGACUGGCAACGGAGGCAGACAACAGAGCCAACAAAUCAGGGGACACCUGAAAUCAGAGGGGCAGCAGGUGGAUUCUGGCUCUGACACAGGCCUUCAUCAUCGCAGCACUUUGACAAGCUAGCUCCUCCAUCUUAACUUCAAGUUUUCAUUUCUACACACAGCUUCAUCAAAUAACAAUUUCUGCUUUCCCCAUGGUAGGACGAAAGAAGCCUGAAUCACUUCUGAAAAUGUUUGAAUUCUCUUUAAGAUAGAAGAGCAAGACCAUCUGAAUAAGGAAUAGAGAAAGAAGCAUAGAGGAGUUCCCGUCGUGGCUCAGCAAUAACCCGACUAGUAUCUAUGAGGAUGUGGGUUCGAUCCCUAA